GUAAAACAUGCUCGAGACCUCUAAAAAAUAAUUCAAGGCUUCAUCUAAGCCUUAAAGUAUCCCUCAAAUCCAACAAAACACUCAAAAUCUCGAUUUUAGCAUCCAAAUCUCGAAUAUUAACCAUAGUCAAUCCAAAAGGUAAUAUUUCACAAGUUCACGACUUAGUACCUGAAAUCCUCUAAAUUAAAACCAACAACUCUUGUGAUUUAGCUAAUGAGUUUCGCGGUUAAGUCCUAGUUUUGUUUCGAUUUAAGAUUUUUUUAGCUAUCAUGUUGUAUUUCAAGUUUUGAUAUAUUGAAAUAUGUAAUUAAUCAUGAGGUCUAUUGUAUUAUAUGAAUACAAUUAAAAUUAUGUUAUUUGGAGAAAAUUGAAAGAGUUGACAUAUUAAUUUACAUCAAGAUUUGGAGCUUGAUUGUAUAGUUUACUGAGUUUUUGAGUCUAGACUAGACAUAGUAUUGUGAGUGUUGUUAGUCAUGAAAUCUUAUUGUGGUCAUUUAUUUGAAUAGAUUGCUUUGAGUUGGAAGUUUAACGAAAGGAGAAGGCUCAAGUUAUAGACAGAAUUCUUGAUUGAUAGAACUAAGUAGAUUUAUAAGCCCUUGUUAAGUGUAUGGAAUUCGUGUAUUUUCUUGUAAUAUGUGUUUGAGAGUAAUAAGACUUGGUGACGGGUUGACUUGUCCACAUUGAUUAAUUCUAAGGAUGAAAAGGGGUAAUAAAGGAAAUGUGAUUAAUUGUUUGUGUGAUGUGUUGAGAAUGGUUUGAAAGGCUUGUUGAAUCAUUGUUGGUGUUAUGCUUGUUGUGAAUUGUGAAAUGUUAUGAAAAUGGUCAUUUCCUCAUCGUUUGUGUGGACAUGUCAUUUUCAUGAUUCUGAGACAUGAUUGUGACAAGUGUUAUGAGAAUUGGGAAAGAAUAAGAACUUAAAGAGGAUAUACCAUUUGAGAGACAUAUCGCGCGCCACGAUGGAUAUUAUAUUCAAAGAACGCAUUACACACCGCGACGGAUACAUGAACAGAUAUGUUCCCCAUUGGUCCAGGACUGAGAAACAACGGGUGUGUAUCAAUAAGUCAUGCAUGGAUCACUAUAUCUGACAUUGGAUUAUAUUGCAUUGCAUAUAUUUAUCAUUAGUGAACUUGAUAUUAUGUUUUUUUUAUCUUGUGAGUGCCUUUUUCUGGAACAUUGAUUAAUGAAUAUUAAGCUUGUUGUUGAGGAUACGUAAUUGUUAGAGUCUUGUUGUUGAGGUGUGUGAUAUGUGAAUUAUACGGUUAGGUUGGACUGGUUUUAUGAAGGUUGUAGUAGUGUAGGUUGUUAUUGAUGAAUAUCGAGCUUGUUGUUGAGAAUAUGUGAUUGUUAGAUUGUUGUUGUUGAGAUACAUGCUUGUAAAUUGAAAAUGUCAAAUUGUGUUGGUUUUAUGGAGGUUCGGUAUGGGUGUAAGGAGUACUCAUAUUCUAUCUUUUUAGCUUGUGUUUAGAGAUUUACUUGUUGAGUACAGUGUGGUUGGUUCCCAAUCCAUGCUUAUAAAGUUUGGUAGGUUACUAACCCGGACUUUUGUGUCAUUUUUUUGUCUUCUCUUUGUCUUAGGCUUUUUGUGGAGGCUUGUGAGGUAUUUGUUUGUCAUUUCAACAGACCUUCUUAAUCCUAUUUAUGAACUCGUUCUGCUUUAGAAACAAGGUCAUUUGAGACUUGUGUUUUUAUUUGAAACAAUUGUAGUACUUUAGAGGCAUGUACAGGUGACAACAAGGUUUUGGGGAAUUUUUGAGUUUAUUAUGAAAUUUCCCCAUUGUAUUGUAAUGGUAGAGUUUUAGGCUGUCUUAUCUUGGUGGGAUAAUACGAAUGCCAUCACGUCCAAUUUUUGAUCAUGACAAAUGCUAUCAGAACCCCAAGUUCGUAGCUCACAUGUGUACAAGUCGAGUCUAAGUAGAGUCUUGAGGAUCCGUACGGUGAUGUCUGUACUAUGACACCCUGGAAAAUUUUUGAACUAAGACUCGAGCCAUUCUUGGUAGUGAGUAAGUUUUGACAAGGAAUUUAAAAUUUCUUUUGUAUUAAGUUUAGGUAAGUAGAAUUAGCACCUUGAAUUCCAAAAGAACCUAGAUUGAAAAUAACAAAAAUAUAAAAUUUGGAGAGUUAAGCUAAGUAUGGUUUUGGAUCGAUUUCAAACGACCAGAACUCCUAGAAAAUUAUAAGUUAUGUAUGCUACAAGAGACCAUAGGAAAGAUCUUUGAAUUAUAUUUCCAACGCCGUCAAGUUUGCUAAGUUUUGAGCUCGUAUGAGUGAGAUAUGACAUUUUGAAGUUAGGUUGUUCAGUUAAGGAAAGUUAGCCGAAAACAACGAGGAGUAUUAUAGUUCUUUCCUUACCUAAUCAGAUUUAAUUCUUUUUUAGUAAUAUUUUAGGGUUAUAAUCAUUUUAGGUUCAGUUUUACAAUACUAAUAUAUGCCUAGGGUUUUAGUUGAGAGUUGAAGAAGAGACAAGAAGAGAAAAGAGGAGAAAAGAGGAGAGGAUCAAGCAUUCGUCUAGGUUCUUGCUUCUUGUUGGGAAUUUUGUCAUGGUUCUAAUCCAUAAGAGGUAUGUAAGCUUCCAUAGUGUUGAGUUAGUUCAUCCACACGCCAAUCUUGAUUUAUUUAGCAUAAUUUCGUUCUUGAAAUUUAAGGAUUUAAGUUUUUUAUGAGUUCUUGAUAAGUGUUUUUGAAGUUCAUUAAGUUUUGAUGUAAGAUUCUACUUAGGUCAACUUUAAACGAUUAUAUCUCUUAGAAUAUUAAAAGUUAUAUGAUCCAUAACCUAUUUAAUUGAAGGUAAUUGAAUGUACUUUCUAACGCCACCAAUUUCGCGUCAAUCCAAUUUCCGAGUAAAAAGUUAUGACUAAUUUUAGUAACAUGUACAACGUUGUUACGAAUUAGCCGACGGGAAAACAUUUAAAAGGGUUGUUUUUAUUUAUUUUUUUCCUCCAAGAAAACUCUAAAGACUUUCUUGACUAAUAAAAGGUUCACAACAAUCAGAUUUUCAUCUUUAUUAGUGAAAAUCAUAAUUCUUGGUUAUGGAGAGUUGAGGAAACUAAUUCAAGAAUCUCAAGAAAGGUUUUCUUGAUCAUUUACCUCAAGCUAGGGUUUCAAGGUUUCUAUUCAAGUUGUUAUCCAAGAUUCUUCAAGAAACUUGUUCUUCCUAUCUAAAAUCAUUUCUAACAUGAUCAAAAUCUUCAAUUGCAUAAUUCAAAUUCAAGGUAGAGUUGAGAGUUAAGUUUUGAGAAUUCUUUCGAACGUUCUAAGAAAAUCCUUUUGAGUCAUGUUGAUGAGUCUUCUACAACUUCUAGUAAUUUGUUCCAAGGCUCGAGUAAGUAAGUAGGAGAAUGAGAAAAAAAUCUUGAUGAGUCUACAUUUUCAUCGUGAGAUCCUUCGUAUCAUGAACCAUAACUCUUGAAUUCAUAAUUCACAUUCAAGAGAGAGUUUAGAGUAGAGUUCAUGAAAGCUUUUGAGUUCAAUUAUGAAUUCUUUGAGAUCAAAUACUGAUUUGACCUAAUAUUGGAGGAAGUAAGUAAGAGAAUGAAAAGAGUUGUACUCAUUAGUUCCAGGUAGCUAUGUCAACCUUCGAGUUGAGUCGAUCAUGUCCAUAACUUCUGCAUGAACGUCGAGUAACUUUGAUAGGAAUUUUAUCUUCAAGUUCUAACUUUUGAGUAUUGAGUUGUAACUAUCAUUAUUGAAAACCUUGCAUUGAGUCGUUCACGUCCAUAAUUCGACAUGAACCAUAUUAGAGAAGUCUUUUACAAUUAUUUUAACUUUGUUUUAAUACUUAAGCAUUGAAGUUGAAUAAAGAAUAAAAGUAAAGUUCAUAUUUUAAAAAACGAUAUAUGGGAACUAAGUAUUUCUAAGAGUAAAUGUUUUGCAUUUAAAAUGAGACAAAACUGAGAUUUUCAAAAGAGUUUUGAGCAGUUUGAGUACUAUCUCUUUUAAGAAAAAAAAUGAGUUUGAGAAAGAGUUUCUAAAACAUGAUUAGUAUGACAGUCGAGUAUGUCAUCAAUGUUUAAGUAGUAUGGUAUCUAGAUAUACCAUCAAUGUUUAUGCAGUAUGACUUCCCAAGUCAUCAAUGAUCAUAUUAAAAUAUGAUUUUUAUAUGUUUUAUGAAAGAGUUUUCAAGAGAAAUUUCCUCUUUAAGACCUCUUUAAGAGGGUUGUUUUGAGUAAUUAUCGUAAACUAAAGAAAGAAGUUGUUUUAAAAACACAUGAGCUAAGUAUAUUUUUGGGAGUAGUAUUGAACACCGAUAUGAGGAUGCGAGUUCAUAAUAACUCAAGUCUCCAUAAAUCAUGUAUUCAUCAUGGGUAUUAAUGGAUCAUACUUUUUAGAUAAUCACAUAAGUUAAGUUAGUGGAUCCACUAAGUUAAAUUAGGUCCUAUACUAAUGGCAAGGUAUAGGAUGGUCCUUGGUAGCGUGAGGUAAAGUGUUGUAGCAUCACUAUAGCUCUUAAGUGAUGGUUGUCGGUUAGAGAAACUCCCACAAAAGUUAUUGUAUUUUUAUAUACAUCAGUUAGUUGUAUUUUCAGAUACAUUUCAAAGUUAUGUUGCAUCCUUGUUAUAUACACAGAGUUGACAUCGUGUAUUUAAACAACAUUUCUUUAUAUUGCACUUGUUUUAAACUGCUUUAUAUCGAAAUGAGAUCAGUUAAGUAUCAAGAGCUGAGUAUCUUAAGUUCAUCUGUGAUUCAUUGAGUCGAGUAUCAUAUCUAUGAAGUUGAGUAUCUAAUCUUGAAGUUCAAUAUCUAUUCUUUGAGUUGAGUUGAAAAAAGGUAAGUAUGUUUCCUUUUUAUCAAGUUCAAGCCUAUGUUUUAUGCUUUAGAAUUCUCGUUACAUGCUCGUAGAUUCCACGUACUGAGCCAUUUCGCCUGCAUCUUUUGAUGAUGCAAAUACAAGUAUUCAGGAUCAUCAACAGGAUCUUCAUUGAUAAAUUCGAGACUCGAGUUAGCUAUGGUGAUCCUCCUUGCUUUCGGAGGAUUUCAUUUAAUUUUUUUAUUUAGCUAGGAGGUCAUGGGUCUUGUCCCGACUUCCAUCCUUGUCAGUUAGAGGCUUCAUAUAUAGUUAGUUCAAUUAAGAAGUCUGUAUUAUUCAUUUAUUUUAUUAAACGUUUUAAAGACUUGAGUUGCCUAUUUUUGGGGCGAGUUUAAUAUAUGAUUUUAGGGAAAAUGCACAAGUACACCCUAAACCUAUGCCCGAAAUCUCAGAGACACACUUAUAUUAUACUAAGGUCCUAUUACCCCCUCCUCCCCCCCCCCCCCGAAAUUUUUUUAUAAGUAAUUUUCUACCCCUUUUCGGCCUACGUGGCACUAGCUCGAAAAAAAUGUCAACCAGCGUUGGGCCCACAAGAUAGUGAAUUUUUCGAGGAAUAUAAACAUUUUUCGAGAAAACCUUGGAACACGUUCUCAAAGAACUCUUCGUCUUCCAUAAACCUUUUUUGUCGAAAACAUCAACCUCCAUAAAACAGAUCAUUGUCCAACAAGUCUUCCAUUUUUUAAUAUUGAUUAUUUCGAUAAAGCAGGUUUAUGGAAGAUAAAGAGUUCUAUGAGAAUGUGUUCUAAGGUUUCAAUUUGCCCUAUUUUAUUAAAUAUUUUUUAUAUUCCUUGUAAUUGUAACUUAAUUUUUUGGAGGGAUGAAUUUAUUUAAUGUUAUGUUAUAGGAUUAAAAUGAUAUUUUAUAUACUUGUAUUGUGUCAUGAUCCAGACCAUUGUGAGUGACAUCCAGACUUAACCACCUAAUGGGAAAAGCAGUUGCUAACCUCAAGAGACCCAAAACACCUUUUAUAAAUCAAAGUCAAUCAUGAUAAAAAAAAAUAUAACAAGUUCAACAACUAAGAAUUGAGCCCUCAUAAACUCAAUGUAGAACAUCAACCCCUAAGAACUAAAAAUCAUCAUACCAAAUUCUAAUAAUAUAUAUUGAGGAUGUGACCCUAAACCUAAACAUAAAACUAAUGUUUAAUAUUUGUCCCCGAAGUGAUGGACAAGAAGAGGCAGAAAACCCCAUGGAAGCCUGAAUGAUGUAACUCACCCUUAGGCUUUGAGUUAGACGUCCCUUAACUGACGCCUUGGAUCAGCCAUUGGAAGAUGUUUUGUACUCAAUAAGAAAACAAACAUGUGCAAUAUCAAUACACAAUCAUUGUGUACUUGUAGGAUCACAUGGUCCAUCCAAGAUAUGAAUGUAAACGGUUGACCACAAAGUAGUAACACAGAACAAUACACGUAGCAGCAAUUAUCAACCGUAUUGAUAAAACAACAAUACCUGGAUGCGUGUCUCAUAUGAUCAUAAUGAAAAUGUCCGGUUCACUUAUGGAACCAUAAUCACAUAUUUGGUCCUUUCGUGGAAUAUAAACCCAAACUAUUAGUAUACGUGUGUGGUACCCUAGCCAUACAUAGUUAGUCUAGCGGCAUGGUACAAGUGUCAUCCAUAGUUAGUAAAUCGACAUAGUACCCGAGUCAACCAACAAUUAAUAACAAUCAUUAACAAUAAACAAUGACACUUGAAAACCACAAGUUACAGUAACAAAUCCAUUGCAUGAGACUAUCAACAUGAUAUCAUUGCAUAUCUUUCCCUAAGGAUUUCCUACCAUGCAUUGCAUCAAUGAAACUAUAAAAUAGAUAUACAUACAUAAAUGAUCGUUUUAUUUUACGGUAAGAAAAAUAAACCAUCUUUAAUUUACCACGAGUUUCAACAUCAAUAAACACUGACGGGAGAAGUAAAAGAAAGAUAGAAUCUAUAAUUUCUACAAAAGAACAUCAUGCCUCAUCAACAAAAGAAGUGUCGUCAAGCAAAAAACCUAAAAUAUAAUAAAAUUGAAGGUUAGACAAAAUAUAAAUCCCACGGUAUCCAAGCUACUUGAGAAUAAUUGAAAUGAGAGACAUCCCCAAAACUUAAUUUAAAAAAUAGCCAUUUUUUUUAAUUUAACUUUUUGGGUUAGAGUUAGAAAAAGUAAAAAAUGGGAUAGGGUUGUGGGUUCAUGGGCCUUUCAUCACUUUAAGAACAUAGGGAUAAAAAUACAAUUAUCUAAAAUAUUAUUUUCAUCCAACCACUUUAACAAUGAAGAAAUUCAUCCCUCCAAAAAAGUAAAUUACGAUCCCCAAAAAUAUAAAAAAAAUUUAAUAAAAUAGGGUAAACAUUUUCCGAGGAAGCCUUAGAACACGUUCUUAGAGAACUAUGCAUCUUCCAUCAGCCCGUUUUAUCAAAAUCAUCAACUGAUCAUUAUCCCACAAGUCAUCUAUCCUACAUUAUUACAAAUAUAAGAAAAAUGAGAUUCUAUAAUCGUUCCUGAAAAACAAAGUGGAGUUUGUCUAUUACCAAUCUUAUUCCCACGUUUAGUUGAAUCUUUUUCAAUUUUCUUCCCGAGUUCAGUUGAAUCAUUUUCAAUAUUCUUCGUCUUAAGUAAGUUUAAUCGUUUUUCUAACAAAUUUUAGUCUAUUUGAUUUUCUCAUUGCGAUAGUGUACCCUAGAUUAGAUGUUUGCUUGAAGUUCUGAAAAUCUCGCCCUUUUUAGGUCAUGCUUUUUAUUAGGAAUCAUUACUGAUGAUUUGCUUUGGAUAAUGGGAAGAAAUUUUUUAUUUUUUAUGUUUAUCUAACCUAUCAAUUUGAAACUUUUACUAUAUUCUGGUCGACUUUCAUGGUGUUUAUGUCAAUGGCAUUGUUGAGUUUUGUUGGAACUGGUACUUGUUAUGCAUUUUGUUGGCAUCACUAUGUUUGUGUUAAUAGACUAGUGGCCGAUAUUUUGAUAUGAAAAUUAUGUUUUUGUAUAUAGUAAAAUGGGGCUAAAACUAGAGGCAACAUCGUUAAACGAUUGUUCAUAAGACUUCUAAAAAUAAGAAAAGAAAGGCUGAAGAAGUUUCAAGAUCUUCAAAAAAGAAAAAAAAAUUAGUUAAAGAACCUAAGUCUAACUCAAAUUCUAAUACAAUUGUUGGAUUGACAACUAUAAGGACAGUAGUUCUCAGUCUAGUGAUGAUGUUAAAUCUAGCGAAGAAAACCCGAUAGUGGAGAUGACGAGAGUAGUAGAGAUGUCCAGAUACUGGACAUGAGGAUGAUAAUCCCCUGUCCUUGCCAAUUUGUGCCAUAGAAAUCUCUAGUAAGUUGUAUAAUCUAACAACAUGGAUGUAUAAAUUAGGAUCGUUUAUAACGAAAAUUUUUCUGAGAGAAAGCAUGACUCUUUAUCAUGAUUGAAGUAAACUUUUAAUUCAGGAAAAAAUUACAAUGACUUUAAAGGUACUUGUUUUGGACACUUGAGGAAUAUUCCAAAAUAUUUCAAGUUUAAUGGACAGAUGGUCCAUUAUAUGUUGUUACGAUGUUUAAAAAAUGAUUUUAAAAAAAUAUUUGCAUGAGAUGUGGUUUUGUGUGAAUGACAAACCUGCUUGUCCUCAUCUCAUGCAUUUUUAUAUUUUUUUUAAUCAUUUUCAAACGUUGCAACAACAUAGAUGGAAGUGGGAAAUAUAGGUAUAGAUUUUGUAGUUGGUCUCCCCAAGACCUUGGAGAUAUUUGACUUUAUUUGGGUUGUGGUUGAUAGAUUGACUAAGUCAGUCCAUUUUAUUCCGAUAAGGGUAGAUUACAAUUUGGAACAACUAGCUAAAAUCUAUGUGAAAGAGAUAGUGAGGUUGCUUGGGGUGCCCCCUUUCUAUCAUCUUAGAUUGUGGUACGUUUUUCACCUCCAAGUGUUAGAGGAAGUUGCAUGAUAUAUUGGGUACAAAACUUACUUCUAAAAUAAACCUUCAUCCCCAGAAGGAUGGACAAUCGGAAAGGACUAUUCAAGUGUUGGAAGACAUGUUGAGAUCUUGUGUGAUUGACUUUGGAGAGCAUUGAGAUAUUAUUACCACUAUGCGAGUUCUCUUACAAUAACAGUUAUCACUCCAGCAUUGAUAUGGCACCAUUUGAGGUAUUAUAUGAGAGGGAAUGUAGAUCACUCAUAUGUUGGUUUGAGGCUAGAUAUGUAAAAACUUUGGGGGUCGACUUAAUGAACGAUUCUCAAGAUAAGGUGAGGAGCAUUAAACCUAAACAUCUAAUUGCUCAGAGUAGACAAAAGAAGUAUGUAUAUCAUAAGGUGAGGGACAUGGAGUUUCAGACGAGUGAAAAUGUCCUUCUCAAGGUAUCACCCAUGAAAGAGGUGAUGAAAUUCGAUAAGAAAGGAAAGUUGAGUCAGCGAUAUAUUAGUCUCUUUGAGGUUCUUGAAUAUGUAAGACUAGUGGAGUUUAGAUUGGCGCUACCCUUUAAAUUGUUCGAAGUACAUACAUAUUUCGUGUGUCUAUGUUGAAGAGAUAUCAUGGAGACGAUGACUAUAUUUUUAAGUAGGAUUCAAUUGUGCUAGAUAAAGAGCAAAAAUAUGACGAGGAACCGAUUGCUAUUCUUGAUCGUGAUGUUUGUAUGUUCAGGACCAAAGAAAUCAAGAACGUGAAGGUUCAAUGUAAGCAUCAUCCAGUUGAUGAAUCUUUUUGGGAGACUUGAUAAGGACAUGUGAGACAAGUAUCCACAAUUAUUCAUUGAAUCAAGUACUACUUCGCUCUUUCCUCAACCCUUUUUUCCUAAGUUUUAUCACUCGGGAAAGAGUGAUGGGUAAAUUAAUAUCUAUUGCAACGACCGGGUUCCUUAGUUAUAGAAAUGCCAACGAGGAAAAAAAUUGGGGCCGAAAAACUGUUUGUAGAAUAGGAUUUUUCCAACCUUGUCCAGAUUUGAAGAAAAUCGGUGUCAUCAAGAUGUGAGGAAAUCUUAAUCGGGUGGAUUAAAUAUGAAUUUGAUUACAUAAUCGGUUAGAUAAAUCUUUAAAGAAUCCGUAAAACUUUACGAAAUUGAAUUUGGAUAAGUAGAUCUCCAGGAAUCGAUCUUAGCAUUAAAGGAAUUUUCUGAGCGUAAUAGUUUAAGAGUGUGAUGUAAAAGGGAAAACUGAAAUUCUGUAAAAAGUGUAUUGUCUCCAAUCGUGCCGCUAGAGCGGGAUGGGUGCUGUUGUAGCGAAUGAGAUGUGGAUUUAAAGUCAAAGAUUUUGAGAUUUUUCAACGAGGCUCACUGGUCAAAAAGAUGACGUUGCAGCAGGAUUAGUGCCGCUACAAUGGGAUGGGUGCUGCUAUAGUGGGACAGGCGCAAAUAAUGUCAUAAAUAAAACCCGUAAACAAAUUUAUUUGGCACUUUUUAACUUUUAGAGCUAAAGAACGACCCCUGGGUUAUUCCAACUCAUUUUUUACCAUUAUCGAAGAUAAAGGUAAGCUUUCCACUCCCCGAAUUUGCUUUUUGAUCCGUUGAACAUAAUAAAAUGGGUCAAUAUUAAUAAGGAAGGGUUUCUUGAUAGAUUCUAUGGUGUAAUUAACCUAGUUUGACUAGUUGAGAUCCUGAGUAUGAUCUAAGGUUUUUAGAAUUGUUAGUAAUUCGAAUAAUUACUAAUUUUUUAUUGAUUCCCGUGUUAUUGUAUUUUUUGUAGACUAAGAACAAGCAGAACAAAUAUCGGAAAUAAGAGGAUCAAGUGUCUUAGGGUUUUAAGCUUGUUUUGAAGUAGGUGAUGGUUGUGAUUUUAUGAUUGUGUAAUGUAUACAUGUUCUUUCUUCAUUAUGAUACUUGUAUGUAUAUGAAUGUCGUAAUAUUGAUCAGUUCAUUAUAAUCGAGAUAGACGAAGAAUUUAUUCAUGAAUUUAUGAUGUAAAUGUAUGAUCUUGAUGAUGUACUUGUGAUUGUGACUGUGGUGUGAGAUUAGGGAUCGAAUUGUCACGUUAUAGCAAACUAACUUGGAUCGGAUUUCUACGUUCUGACAUAAAUAUUGGAUUGGGUUGCCACACUCCGGCACAUCUAUGGGACUGAAUUUUCACGUUUCGGUAAGCUAACUGGGAUCGAGUACGCCGAUGUACUAACAAUUCGAGUUUGGAUUCUGUGAGAAGACAAAUAAUGUUUUAAGCAUGUGAAUUGUGUUGUUGAAUUGUCAUGUUGAUAAUGUUGUUUAUAUUGAUAUAUAUGCAUGUCAUUAUAAUAUUUCUUCAACUUAUUUAUAUUGUACUAGUGGGAUAGUCGCGUUGAUCUUACCAGUACACAGUGAUUCUGUACGGAUUCUACACUUACUUUUAUUUUUGUUGACUACAGGUCAUCUUCAAGUGGAUAUUUAUAGACCGCACUUAGGAUAUUAGAGUUAUCGCAUCGACUUCAAGGGUAAGUUGCAUCUUCUAGGCUGCCAUGAAGUUCUCUUCAGUCUAUGUCCACCAUUUCCGAACUUAGACCAUUGUUUUAGAUAUAGUUCAUUAGUAUUUUCCUGUUUAGACUUGGUUACCACUAGUAGUUUUGGUACACUGACUUUCAGAUUCUAAAUUUAUCUUCCACAAUAUUUAGUUUUUAGAUCUUUUGUUUAGUAAUGAACUUUGCUUUUAGUUAUUUAACUUGCUUCUGUAACUUAAAUGCCUUAGUUGUAGAAUAAAUGCUUUAGUUGGAUAGUAGUAGUGGUUCUCCCAUCGGCUUGUAAGUGUGGGUGACAAUCACGACGGGUUUGGGUCGUUACAUAUAUUUUGCGUAAUUGCACUCCAUAGCAAACACAAAUAUGUAUAUAUUCGCUAUGCAUAUACUAAGAAAGCAAUUGUAUAAUUCACCAUACAUAUACAAAAAAUGUAUUUGUAUAAUUCGCUAUACAUAUAUAUAAAAGAAAAUAUUUGUUAUAAUAUUUCGAUUUACAUAUACAAAAUAUCAAUUAUAUAAUAUGUGUUUAAUUUGUAUAAAGCGAGAAAAAGAGAAAGGCGAGAAAACUGGGCAGGGGAAGAUUGUAUUUGUAUAAUCAUAAUUGUAUAGGACAAAAAUACAUGCAUUUGUAUUCGUAUAUACAAUUUUCUAUCGCUUUAUACAAACACAACACAAUGUAUACAUUUGUGUUUGUAUAAAGUGAGAGAGGCGAGCGAAAUCUCAGAGAAGAGAGAGAGUGGAACGAAAAUAUAUGUAUAUAUACAAUUUUCUCUCGCUUUUUACAAAUAUAAACACAUUUUAGAUAUUUGUGUUCGUACAAAAGUGAGAGAGACAAGUGAGAUUGUCACCAAAUGACAGUGACAAGCGAGAUUCCACCAUGGAGAGAGGCAAAAUUAGCAAUAGUUUGUUGUAGGGUACAAUUAUAUCAAACUAUAUUAAAGCAUUUAAUUUGAAUUAAUAAUUUGUUAUUCUAUACAAUUUUUUCAAAAAAAAAAGAAAUUGAAUACUGAUAUUAUAUAUAAAUUGGGACCAAAUGAUCAAAUUUUUAAAAAGUUUGUAAUAAUUUUUGGACUAAAUUUCUUUUGUUACAAUAUUUGGACCAAACAAAAUAUUAUAACAACUUUUAGAAAACCCUAAAUUCCAUAUACCCCUCGUAUAUAUAAUUAUGUUUUACCUCUCAUUCUAACGCAGCUAAAUCUAUUGCGGCGCGAAGAUGAAGGGAGUUCAGAAAAAUAAAGAAGAAAAUGAUAAUAAUGAUGAUGAAACCCGUUUUCAACAUGAAUCCUCUUCAUCAAUUCUUCAUAGUUGAAUUAACGAAUAGCAAGUUUGUAUGUUUUUCUCUUCCUAUUCUUUUUUAUUUGUUUGUUUGAUGAUAUAUGAAUACAUGUUUGGAUACUUGAAUGAAGUAUCUUUUGCAAAUAUUCUUAUUUCCUUAAACUACAUAUGCUUGACGAGAACUUUUCAGUUUUAAUUAGUUAUUAUAUUUGAUUAAAUAAAAGUUAAUCGACCGGUGUUAAAUCAUAGAAGUUAAGUCGACCGGUGUUAAAUCUUAGAAGUUGAGUUAUCUUUUGCCAAGAAAAAACGAUUCAUAUUUUUCCUCUUUUCUUGUUGAAUUGCUUCCAUUUACUUUAUAAGUGCUUCACACAAAUGCAUUUCUUUUCUUGGUGCUCUUGUUCUUAAUAUCGCACAAGUGAUAUUUUAAACAAUUAAAGAAACCAUCAAUCGUAUGAUUAAUAUUAAUCUACAUUCAAUGGUCUUGUGAACUGGCUUACUAAAAUUAAAUUAUACAUUGGUGCUAACAAUAUGUAUAAGUCAAUGUUGAAGAUGUUCUAUUAAGCUAUUUUUCACAAAUCAUUAAAUUUGGUUUUAUGUUUAUCAUCUUAGUGUUGGUUGCUUUGGUUGUUUCAAUAAUCGCUUGUGUGAUACUAACAAUAAGAGAAGAAAAUGGCUCUUAUAAAUCAGAUGGAAGGAACUCAACAAAAGAAAGAAAAAGUUUGAACAAAAGCACUGCAUUUAUUCAAGCAAAUCACGAUCUUAGAGUUUCGUCAUCUUAAAAAUAAGAUGUGUAAUAUUUUAUACAAUGUAAAAGUUAAAUAAUAAUUUGAUAGUG
This 13248-nucleotide long non-coding RNA is filed under the name Solanum lycopersicum (tomato). RNAcentral's name for it is "long non-coding RNA (SLYC_LNC000953)". The record is from RNAcentral. Lineage: Eukaryota; Viridiplantae; Streptophyta; Magnoliopsida; Solanales; Solanaceae.